This 74-nucleotide transfer RNA is filed under the name Bacteroidota bacterium. RNAcentral describes it as "Bacteroidetes bacterium tRNA-Met". It matches the Rfam family "tRNA". Rfam says of the family: Transfer RNA (tRNA) molecules are approximately 80 nucleotides in length. The record is from RNAcentral. Lineage: Bacteria; Pseudomonadati; Bacteroidota. RNAcentral also lists the same sequence under 3 other names.
GGCGUGGUAGCUCAGUUGGUUAGAGCGCAGGAUUCAUAACCCUGAGGUCGGGAGUUCAAAUCUCCCUCACGCUA